AUUUUUAAGAGAUGAGUCCACCUUCCCUGAUGCCACUUUUGCUUUACUGAGCAGCUGCCAGAAGUUUGCUGGCUCGGACUGUGGUUUUAGAAGACAUCUGGAUAUCCAGUUCUCAUUUAUGUUAGUAGGAAGAGGGUGUCCAAAGCACAGAGGAAGUUUUGGUAAUUUCUAUGGUAACUCAUUGGAGACAUUGUCAGCCUGACUGUGACCUCCUCAGCACUGAGAGAAACCAGAAAUAGCUCCAGUUCAGGCUUUUGAGUUUUGCCAUGAAACGGAUGUGAGGCCACAUCACUUUUUGAUUUUUAGGUUUGGUUUCAGGAGCAGGCAGGUUUUCAGUUCCCAGGCAAAGCAGAGUGGAGAGUUGCCCCAGCAGAGGCAGGGAGGAGACACAGGACGACACAGAGCUCUGAGGGGGACUGGAGAGGAGCCCAUGCUGGAGCUGUGGAGUAAGGAACGAGAAGACCAAAGCCAAGGAAUCCCAACACACCUGCCCCAGCCCCUGUGCAACCCCAUGCCGCACCAAGGGAGGAGAAGUGUCAGGAGCAAAACUGAAAUGUCUCCCUAAGAGUUUGCUUAAUUUUAUUUCUCAAUACUGGAAUAAGUAAUUAGAAGCUUGUUAAUUGGAAAUAAUUUCCUGACAUAAUACAUAUGUAUUUUUCCCUCCAUGACAGAAAGGAGCAAAAAAAGCCCACCUUUGCUGCCUGGUAAGGCAGAAGAACACUGGUUGAAGGUUCCUACAGUUUUGCUGAUGGAAGUAAUGUAUGUCAGGUUGUACAGGACCAGAAAUACCUGAAUCCAAGGCCUUGCUGUACCAUAGCAUAAGAUCUUCAAGCCAAGGGAAAAUAGCAGAUUGCAAGGACAAGAAAGAAGGACUUCCUCUAUGUGUAUGCCAGAAGCCAAUUUUUCUUCCUCAAGGCACCCUAAAGGUUUAUGGACAGCUGGAUGACCCAAGUGAAAUGCACCCUUCACCCUGUGUCCUUCCCAGCUGAGGGUGAAUACAGGCAAUAAUGACAAUUCUUCUCACAACCCUGACCAGGUAGAAGAAACUGUUUGCAAGCGUAGAAGAUGCCAGCUUCCAAAAGGCCCAUUGUGCAUGUUCCCCAGAAGGUGAAUGGGAAUGCUGACAAUCUACCUGGAGCACUAAGCAGCUGGGGGUGAAAAAUCCUGAGGCAAAAUGCUUAAAAAUUCUCUUUAUAAAAAGACUGGUAUCAUGUAUAGUCUUUACAUUUUUAAUAACAAUCUGUAAAACUUGCUAAGAAAGCUUUUUGAAUACCAUGAUUUAUUGCAUCUUCAUGAACAUUGCUAGGAUAUUUUUUGAAUUUGUUUCAUUAAAGGAGAUAUUCUCAGCCAA
This 1351-nucleotide long non-coding RNA is filed under the name Anser brachyrhynchus (Pink-footed goose). RNAcentral's name for it is "lncRNA (ENSABRG00000011458.1)". The record is from RNAcentral. Lineage: Eukaryota; Metazoa; Chordata; Aves; Anseriformes; Anatidae.